ACGGGAGGCAGCAGUGGGGAAUAUUGGGCAAUGGGCGAAAGCCUGACCCAGCAACGCCGCGUGAAGGAAGAAGGCCUUCGGGUUGUAAACUUCUUUUAUCAGGGACGAAGGAAGUGACGGUACCUGAUGAAUAAGCCACGGCUAACUACGUGCCAGCAGCCGCGGUAAUACGUAGGUGGCAAGCGUUAUCCGGAUUUACUGGGUGUAAAGGGAGCGUAGGCGGUAUGCUAAGUCUGAUGUGAAAGCCCGAGGCUCAACCUCGGUACUGCAUUGGAAACUGGUAAACUAGAGUGUCGGAGGGGUAAGUGGAAUUCCUAGUGUAGCGGUGAAAUGCGUAGAUAUUAGGAGGAACACCAGUGGCGAAGGCGGCUUACUGGACGAUAACUGACGCUGAGGCUCGAAAGCGUGGGGAGCAAACAGGAUUAGAUACCCUGGUA
This is a ribosomal RNA of 437 nucleotides. It matches the Rfam family "Bacterial small subunit ribosomal RNA", at positions 341 to 792 of the family's 1533-position model.